GAGUUUGAUCCUGGCUCAGGAUGAACGCUGGCGGUCUGCUUAACACAUGCAAGUCGAACGGAGUUCUUCGGAACUUAGUGGCGGACGGGUGAGUAACACGUGAGAAUCUGCCUUCAGGACGGGGAUAACGACUGGAAACGGUCGCUAAUACCGGAUGUGCCUUUCGGGGUGAAAGAUUUAUCGCCUGAAGAUGAGCUCGCGACUGAUUAGCUAGUUGGUAGUGUAAGGGACUACCAAGGCAACGAUCAGUAGCUGGUCUGAGAGGAUGACCAGCCACACUGGGACUGAGACACGGCCCAGACUCCUACGGGAGGCAGCAGUGGGGAAUUUUCCGCAAUGGGGGCAACCCUGACGGAGCAAGACCGCGUGCGGGACGAAGGUCUGUGGAUUGUAAACCGCUUUUGAUAGGGAAGAAGCAAGUGACGGUACCUAUCGAAUCAGCCUCGGCUAACUCCGUGCCAGCAGCCGCGGUAAUACGGAGGAGGCAAGCGUUAUCCGGAAUGAUUGGGCGUAAAGCGUCCGCAGGUGGCUUAUCAAGUCUGCUGUUAAAGCGUGGGGCUCAACUCCAUAACGGCGGUGGAAACUGGUAGGCUAGAGUGCGGUAGGGGCAGAGGGAAUUCCUGGUGUAGCGGUGAAAUGCGUAGAUAUCAGGAAGAACACCGGUGGCGAAAGCGCUCUGCUGGGCCUGCACUGGCACUGAGGGACGAAAGCUAGGGGAGCGAAAGGGAUUAGAUACC
This 737-nucleotide ribosomal RNA is filed under the name uncultured bacterium. RNAcentral's name for it is "bacterial SSU rRNA". It matches the Rfam family "Bacterial small subunit ribosomal RNA", at positions 9 to 786 of the family's 1533-position model. The record is from RNAcentral.